GAAAGCAUCUAAGCAUGAAGCCCCCCUCAAGAUGAGAUUUCCCAUAGCGUAAGCUAGUAAGAUCCCUGAAAGAUGAUCAGGUUGAUAGGUUCGAGGUGGAAGCAUGGUGACAUGUGGAGCUGACGAAUACUAAUAGAUCGAGGACUUAACCA
RNAcentral lists this ribosomal RNA (152 nucleotides) under Bacillus sp. 196mf. Its description in RNAcentral is "partial 23S ribosomal RNA". It matches the Rfam family "Bacterial large subunit ribosomal RNA", at positions 2773 to 2925 of the family's 2925-position model. Lineage: Bacteria; Bacillati; Bacillota; Bacilli; Caryophanales; Bacillaceae. The record is from RNAcentral. RNAcentral also lists the same sequence under 1 other name.